GGGCAAUUAGCUCAGUUGGUUAGAGCGCUGCAUUCACAUUGCAGAGGUCACUGGUUCAAAUCCAGUAUUGCCCACCA
This 77-nucleotide transfer RNA is filed under the name Candidatus Uhrbacteria bacterium CG_4_9_14_3_um_filter_50_9. RNAcentral describes it as "tRNA-Val". It matches the Rfam family "tRNA". From Rfam's summary of the family: Transfer RNA (tRNA) molecules are approximately 80 nucleotides in length. Lineage: Bacteria; Candidatus Uhriibacteriota. The record is from RNAcentral.